CGCGGCGGCAGCAGCAGUGGGAGCAGGCACAGCAGCACCAGCACAGGGACCUGAGACCAACAUUCUCCAAUGGAGGUGGUGGGAAAGAGAUUGAGUAUAAGCAUUCUGCUUAUGGAUCUACAAUUUCAGGGCAAUGUCCAAGACAAGACCUGCUCCUGCCUGUGCUGGUAGAUAAAGAGGACAGUCAGAUCCCAGAGGAGUGCUGAAGGAAGACACCUGCCUGAACCACCAUCCAGCUCACAGCAUCCACCAGCAAUUCUAGGUGGCACCACCCAGAAGACUGGUAGCCUAGAGAGAAUACAUGGAAAGAGAGGCUGUUGCUGCUGCUUGCUGCUCCACGGCCUUUUGCUUGUUAUACCAUGGACUACUACUGCUCUAUGAAGCCCCUCUGCUGUGUCUUCCUGCUUUGGAACCAGAUGACUAUCUGAAACUCCUACAAAUGUGUGCCUCCUAUAAGAAGAGGAAAGAUGCCUGUUUAUCCUGUAUACAGAGGCGGAAGGGAUGCGAAGACGUGGCAAGAAUGUGGCCCUCUAUGAACCCGGAAGACAGGCCUUAGAAGGAGCCAGUCCUGCCAGUACACUCAUCUCGGACUUCUACCCUCCAGAAUUGGACAACGUACAUUUCAGUUGUUUAGGUCUCAAAGUCUGUCAUAAUAUGUUAUGGUGGCUUGAAAAUACUAACAUAGUCAUCAUUUGGAAAGAAUGAAUAUGAGGAGUAUACAGAGAUAUUUAAAGAGAAGCAAAGAACAGAAGCUUGUUUUUGUUUAUUUUCUGUUGCUAUAACAAAAUACCCAAAGUUGGCUGCUUUAUAAAGAAGAGAGGUUUAUAUAGCUCACAGUUGGAGGCCAAAAGUUCUAGAUUAGACAGCUCGUGUCUGUUUGGCCUCUGUUGUUGCUUUGGCUACAUCACAACAUAGUAGAGAAGAGGAAAAGGAAAUGGUAGUACAUAGAAGGAGCCAAAUACAUGGGACAGCUUUUUUUUCUUCCUUCUAAUUUCCCAACCUUAGAGACUUUUCUUUGGGAACAAGAAUAUACUCUCAUGAGAAAAGUGUUAAUUCUGUCACAUGGUGGUGGCCCUGUUACCUAAAUGUCUCCUAUUAGGACUCCUUCUAAUGAUUACACCUCCUCCUAACAUCAUCGUACUGAGAGCCAAGCUUCUAGUAUAUGAAGCAUUGGAAUUCAUGCUCAAACCAUAUCCAAACCACUGCAGAGCUCUUCCAAUCAUAAUUAUAUAACUACAUAAUUACAUAACUAUGUAAAAUAAAUGAGUAAGUCACAUCAGACUAAAGGUCAUCACAGGAAGUAGAAAAAUGAUUUAAAAAUACAACCCUCCAUACUAUCCCAAGAUAUUAUAAUAUUGAAGACGAUAUAACUUUUUUUGAAGUGAGAAGUCAUAGGAGAAAAGAUGGAUAGGAGAAGAGAAAGUUGUGAGAGAAGGAAUCUUUUAUUAGAAAAUUCUAGAAGUUUUGGACCAAGUCAAGCUGUUUAUGUGUAAAGGACACAGAUAAUCUCAGACAUGGCAGGAUGUGGUAAAUAGAAUAUCCCUGUGUUUUCCUUGAGAAAUGUACACGAUGAAAACUAAUACUAUUUAACAAAUAUUUAACAAAUAGAAAUCACAGAAGACUUCCUAUUUUUAAUGUAUUUGGAAAAAUUUUAAGUGAUAUGUAUAUGGACACAAAGAAAACUAUGAUGCAUUCUAUAGACUAAAACAUAAAGGAUUAGAUCAGAACAUACUAAAACUAGAAAUUUAGUAUAAAAAUGAAAUACAAUCUCAAUCACCUAGAAUUUACAAAAAUAACAAUAACUCAAUCACUUUUUAGAUGGAAGAGAUAAGAAAAAUGAAAUUGCAGAGUGUAUAGAAAAGAAUACUAUUAUAAAAACAUUAUAUACAGAAACCCACAUGUAUCUAAAGCCAUGCUUAGAAGUAUAUUCAUGUCCUUGACUACCAAAUUAAAUAAAGUUUUAACAUAAUUUUAACUGGCAAAAUUACCAGAAAGCAGAAGUAAGAAGUUAAAAAGAUAAUAGCAAACACUAGUGGAUGAGAAAACAGUAGAAUAAGAACUCCUGUGACAAGACAAAUCACCAGGUAAUCUAACUUUGAAAAGGUUGCAUAACUGUACAGCAUUAGGAAUCAAGAGAAAAGAUAACCAGAUACAGAGAGGAUUAUAAGAAAUGCUCAGGAUUUUCUUUUCACAAACAUAGUUGAAAGCCUGGAUAGACAAGUAAUUUUUCAAAAAGGUGCAUAUGACCAAAACUGACCUCAGCUGUUAGGGAAGAUUCCAACAAGGCAAAUACACAAUAGAAAAUGGGGAAAAAUUUGAGAAAUUACAGCCCCUUAACAGACAAAGGUCUUAAUACUCAUGAUAUUUUAAAUGUGAAUCUUUCAGACAUUUAGAAUAUAUAUCAAAGCACUAUGUAUGCUGUCCCAGAACUGACUUUAAACAUUUUUUUUUUGGUGGGGUAGGAUCUCACUAUGUAAACAUGUCAGCCUAGGCUUGAAUUCAAUGACUUUCCAGCCUCAGCCUCCCACAAUACGGAGAUUAUAGGCAUGUUCCUCCAUGCCCACGUCCAGGAUUAAAUUAAGAAAGGCUUUCAAAUGAGUUUUACAAAACUAUCAUGACACUGAAACCAAAUUCUAAAAAACAAACAAAAAAUCUAUACUUACUUUACCAAGUGGGAACAAACCCAAAGUUAAAAGACUGGUUUUAUAAAUUUACACAAUAGAGCAUAUGCAUCUACAGAGGGAUGCUAUCUUUAUAUGCGUGUGGAAAGAUAUUAUUUAAAAAACAGGGUUCAGAGCAACUGUAAUAUGCAUCUAUUUGAAUGAGAAUACAUAGAUUUAUGAAUGGAUCAUUUGAUGAAUAAACUAUUGUGGGUGGUAAUGAAUAUUAAAGCUAAGCUAAAAGUUGUUUUAAUGUAUCUUGACUUUUGUACUUUCAAAAAUUUUAUGAGCAUAUAUCUGUAUUAUUUUCAUUUAAUCAUUUAUCAGAUUCUUUAUACAAAAUAGAAUUUGUACAGUCAGUAGAUUAGCUGCUACUCUUGCAUUAUAUAACUGGUCUAGAAUUAAGGGCAUGACAUUUAUUUUACGCAUGUAUUUUCAUAAGAUAGCAUAUCGAGUAAGAUUGUGUUUUCUUUCUUUCUUUAUAAAAUAGAAUUGUCAAGUUGGUUAACUCCUGAAUAUUCUAUGAGAAACAAACUUACUACAAGGUUAUAGAAUUUGAAGUAUACUGAUCUGAUAUACCUCAUUAGAAAUACAUAAUUACUUUGCAGAAAUACUUGUUAUUGCAUUUUCCAUCAUAAAUUUCCAUUUUUCCUUCUAGCCAUUUGAAGAGACUAGCUAGUACACAGUACUUUAGAACAAACUAGCAUCAAAAGGUUCCAGUGUCCUCUUCCAACCUGUUACAAUUCUUGACCUUCAUUUAGCAUUCAAAUAAUGAGAAAUUUCUGAAAAUCUCACUUAUCUGGUAAUGGGACAGCUUAUGUUAACGCUGUACAUUUGACUGUUUGUCUGAUGAAUACUUUGCCUGAUGAGAUUUGUCUGGAAAACUUUUCACACAGGUUUACGCUCUUGCAGAAUGCCACAUGCGAAUAAUGAAUCUCUUCAGAGAGAUGAUUUUUCUUUUUGUGAGGAAAGAGUAUUUUGAACUGUGGCAUGAACAUUCCAGCGCCUGCAAUGGGGCAAGUGUUAUACUAUGAAGUGGUGUACAAGAAAUAGGGAAAAGACAAUCCAGAAAUGAGAAGAAGGUUAUUAAAAGUUCUGAGAUUGGGACACAGUUAUAUUUGCAGUGUAAGAUUUUGGAGACUCAUUGCUAAGGUGCACCCAGGCUUGAUAACUACUCUGUCGAAUUUUUAAAGGAAUAUUUAAAUAUGUGAUGCUUGGAGGGUCAGCACUGUCUUACCUUUCUAUAUUUGUCGAGGUGACAGCAACUUGGAACUCACAUACAUACUGUUUUUGAGGGUGGGGGCCACUGGUGCAUUCAUAAAUGUGGUUAGCAAAGUAGAGGAAUCCUCUUAGUUUUGGUCUGGGGGUGCUUCCUUGGUCCAGAACUUUUUUUUAGCAUUCUUGAACCCUGGCUAAUGAAGUGCUAAUGGGGUGUUAUUACUGGCUACUAGACCAAGGCAUCAGAGAGACAGGCUGGUAAACACCCUUUGAAGUAUGUGCCUAAUCCUUUGAAGUGCGCUUCUAGUGGGAAGAUAAGCACAUUUCCUGUAGUAGACAUCCUUAGUUUUGUGUCCUGACCCUAUGUUAUAGAUUCUAGGUCAACACAUUUGCUGGUCUUCAGGUAGUACUUAGGGAAAGAAAGUUCGUUAUGGAGAUGGUUUAGGGCUUGGCCUUCUCGUGUUUGACUUGGCCAACUUGCCUCAAAUAGGAAACCUCUAAAUAAUUAACUGUAAACUUGCUUAGGUGAUUUUUUAUAUUCUACCCUCGCAAAACACAAAUAGAAAUAUAGGUCAAACCCAGGGAAUAUAACCUGAGAUGCCACUCUAAACUUCUCAUUUUUAAUUUCUCUUCACUCUCCCUUCGCCAGCACUAUGAUUAAGGUAAAAAGCUGAAUCUUAUUGUGUUUUUUAAAAAUUUCCCCAGUUUUUAAAAUACUGGUUUUUUACUGAAGGAAUACUGAAUCUUUUUGAUGAAUGGAUAUGAGUGGAUUGGUUAUUACAUGCAUAAAAACCCAGAAGAAGUUGAUCUACUAAGUUUUUAAGAGUAGCAAUCUAUGCCUUUAGAUCAAACUUCAGCAAGAAAAAUUAAAGGUAACAUAUGGAUGCUUAUGUUUUACUUUUUUUUUUUGUCUUUUUCCUUUUUAUCGGUACCAGGGAUCGAACUCAGGACUGCCUGCUUGCAAGGCAGGCUCAUAUUUUACUUUUUACAAAAACAGACUUUAUUUUUAAAAACAGAUUUAGAUCACUAGCAAAACUGAACGUUAGGUAUAGAGAUUUCCCACAUCCCCCUUCCCUCAUACACACAGAUUCACUAUCUCUGUACCACAAUACUACGUUUGCUACAGUUGAUGAGCUCACAGAAACAUUUGUAUUACCAUCUACAUUUAGGUUUAUUCCCAGGGUUGUGCAGUCCAUAGGGUCUUGGUAUAUUUUUGUAGUACAUAAUAUCCCCAUUCCUUUUUGGGAACUGGUACACAUACAGGUUUAUUCCCUUAUAAUACCCCCCUCCCCAUUCAUCUCUUGGUUUUCUUUGCAAUAUGUAAUAUUUACAUUCCUUGUGUGGAACUGGUACUUUGUGCAGUGACAUGUACCUACCAUUAUAGUAUACAGCCGAUAAUGGAAUGGUAAUCGAGAUUGCCAUUUUAAGGCAGUAAAACUAAUUAUUUUAUACAUUUCCUAGCGUCAGUUAGUUUUGUUAAAAUGGCUUGUUUCAUUUAGUAAUGUGAGGUUAAAUUUCCUUCAUGUCUUUUUUAUGGUACCAGGGAUCACACUUCUGACCUUGCACUUGCCAGGCAGGUGAAUUAUACUCUUUGGUGGAUUCAUUCAUUGAUGAGUUCAGGAGCUGAAUGUGCUGUUACGAAUUGGAGUCUGCUUGGAUGUGUCACUUGGCCGUGACCUGGGAGAGUGUAGUCCUGUUUCCUGGCUAUCAGGGGAUGAGCAGACGUCCCCUCUCAUGCCUUCCAACAUGCUGCUUCUGCCUUGAAGUCUGCCCACUUUAGAACCCACUGGAAACUGUGAGGCAAACAAAUCUGGCCCCCUUUAAGUUGGGGGUAUCAGGUAUUUUGUUUCUGUAACAGACAAGUGACAAUUCUCUUUCCUUUAUCAGAAGUGUAGUUUGCAAAUGUUUUUUUCUAGUUUAUGGCUUGUCAUAUCACACUCUUGACAAUGUCUUUUCAGAGCUGACAUUUUACAUUUUAAAUGAAGUCUAUAAUUCUUUUAUAGACUGAAUCUUUGUUGUUAUGUUCAAAAUAAGACUGUCCAAUCUGAGGUAACAAGAUUUUCACCUAUGUUGUGUUUUAUAGUUUUUCAUUUUUGAGUUUUGAGAUCCAUAUCAUCCAAUUUGAGGUUAGUUUUAUUUUAUUGUGAAAGUGUCUAAAUUUUUUUUUUUGCAUGAUUUUCCAUUUCAGGACAGUUGUCAAAAGAUCAUCUCUUCUCCAUUGUAUUAUUGCCUUUACCCCUUGGUCCAGGCACUUGACUAUGUUCAAGUGUCUAUUUUUGAGCUUUCUAUUCCAUUGAUAUGUUUAUUCUUUCAGUAAUAUCACAUUCUCUGGAUUCCUUUAGCUUUACAAUAAGUCUUAAAGUCAGAUAGUGUGAAUUCUGUGACAUUGUUCUUUUUCUUUCAGUGUUAAAUUCAUUUUUCUAUUUCCCUCUCCAUAAAAAACUCUAGAAUUAUUUUGUCAAUAUCUGCAAACUAAGUUCCUGAGAUUUUUUUUAAGUUCCUGAGGUUUUGAUUGGAAUCUUAUUACAUCCAUAGGUUGUUUGGGAAGAAAUGCCAUUUUAACAAUAUUGAGUCUUCCUAUUCACGAUCACAGAACAACUCUCUAUUUACUUAAUUCUUUUAUUUCUUCCCUUAGAAUUUUAUAGUUUUUCUUCACAUAAAUAUACAUAUUUUGUUGGAUUUACACUCAAAUAGUUAUUUUUCUAGGUGCUAUUGUAAACGGUAUUGUGUUGUCAAAUUUAAAAUUCCAUUUAUUCAUUUGCUAUACACAGGGACAUGUUCGGCUUUUGUAUAUUAAUUUUGAAUAUUAAUCACUUAGUAGUUUCAGGAAUUUUUCUUUCAGAUUUUCUACAGAGAUGGUUAUAUCAUCUGGAAAUAUGAUAAAAGAAAGAAUAAGUAAAGGGAAGAGUCAUUUUUUAUUUUCAUUUUAUUGCUUUAAUCUUUUUUUCUUUUGAUUGAGAGAGGAUCUUGCUAUGCAGUUCAGACUGGCCUGGAGCUUACCUUGUAGCCCAGGCUGGUCUCGAACUCGCAACAAUCCUCUUGCUUCAGUCUCCCAAGUGCUGAGAUUACAUGUAUACACCAGCAUACCAACAAUGAUUAAGCUUUAGUGAGUAUAUAGAUAACUCUAGCUCCAAGAGCUGUGUUCUUUACUCUCCAAAAAUAUUUCUUGGGAUGUAACAAAAUUUAAGUCCUCACCAUAGUAAUUUUAUUAAGUUAGUUACUUUAUAAAACAUUGCAGACAUCAUAAUUCUGAACAUAGCAAUUUACCAAGCAGUAGUUAACUGGUGAGGUUUGCUGGGCAUGUUUUAGAAAGGAAAGGAAAUGCCAAAACCUCCUUAAAGUUGUUCCAUUGCAGCCUAGAAAAACAGAGAGUUGUUUCUUAGACACUUGAAUCAGAUAGUUUCCCUCUUCUGUUCUGAAGCACAGCUCUGGUAGAAAUAGUCUAAUAAGUUAGUACGAGGUAGUAUAUGCACUCAACAUAUUCCACAACUUGUACUUAGUAAAGGAGAGGUCUACCUUUCUUCAGCUUCAAAGUUGGAGGGUUUUGGUCAUUUAAUUUUUAAAUAUCUUCUCUUGAGAUAAGCAGUCUUUUUGACAAUGGAUUUUUCAUAUUCUCAUGCUUAAUAUUAAGACAAAGCAAUUUUAAUACUAGCUGUAGCCCACAUGCCCUUGCUGCAAUCUAUUUUUCUUGGCAAGACAGGCAGUAGUUCAAGGAGGUGUGGUUAAGGCCGUGUUACCGAAUGGUGGUAGCAAGUACUACAUAGUCUUUUUGUCAUGUUGCAGCCUUCAUUUCCAACUUAUCGACAACUGCUAUGGAAUCAAUGACAACAUUAUUAGUCCUGUUUUUCAUUAUUAGAUCCGAUUUAGUAGCAGUUCAGGUUCCUGAUUUUAACCCCUAGACAGCAAGAUCCAAGUUCCCUUGUUUGCACAUUAGCACCUAAGUGCUAAGGGGUUAAAUAACCAGCACCAAAGAUACUGAGCUUCUGACUGUAGCAUUUGGCAGGAUUGAAAGGAAAGGAAGUUGUGCUACAUGUUGAAGGAAUUGUGAGCAAUAGAAAAAAGACCAAGAGAAGAUAAAAUGUUGCCAGACCGUCUUUCACAGUGGCCUAUGUCCUCCUCUAGGAGCCACACCUUUCUCUGUCUUUUGGCUUUGCUUAGCUUUCUUCUGUUUUUCACAGGUCUCACACAGUGUCUGGGUCCCACGAGUGGGUGUCCACUGCCCUGCUGCCAUCGCUGGCAUCUCCAGGUGGAUGUGAGUGUGUGUGAGGGAAAAGCCAAGCAGAUGUGAGUCACUGAGCUGGCUCUAAGUGGCUGGCUGUCUUUUCUUCUUGUAAGGAGAAGUGGCGGGGAAGCCGUGCUGGGGAGAACCAGCCAGGGAGCUGGUCACCCUGUGUGCUGGUAGAGAGUCUGCCACCCGGGAGAAGCAGAGGGAAACCAUCUCUGCCACUGCCUCAUCCCUCCCCUAAGCAACCAGACAGGCCACAGGCUGAGGUGACAGUAAAUGAAGCAAGGUAGCAACCUGACAUUUAAGUUGUUUGAUUGACUUUGCAAACCUGGAGCCAGUAGCUUGAGCAACUAAUUAGAGGAUAAAAUGAUGAAGUACAGUAAUGACUGUGGAUUUCCUGCUGCCCUAUCAUUGCCUUGUUUUGUUUUACUUUACUGUUUUACUUUCUUUUAAAAAAGGACAUUUGUCGGAGUUUAUCUUCACUUAAGCUCUAUUGUGGAGAUAGGUUUGUUUAUGUUAUUCCUUUUUUGGCUUUGAAUGUCCAUAGAUCUAUAGUGGUAUAACCAGAAACUCAUCGAUUUUAUCAGUCUGUUCAAAGAAUCAGUUUUUGAUUGUGUUGCUUUCUCUCUUGAUUUCCUGUUUUAAAUUUCAUUGAUUUCUACUCUAAUUUUAUUGUUUCUUUUCUUCUGUUACUUUGAAUUAAGAGUCUCUUCUUUUUUUAAUUUCCUAAAGUAGAAACUUAGGAUCCUGGUUUUAGAGCUUUGUUCUUUUCAAAUUAGGCACUCAGUGCUAUAAUUUUUCCUCUAAUUACUGCUCUUGUUGCAUUGUACAAAUUUUGAUAAAGUUAUGCUUUUAUUUUCAUUUAGUACAAAAUACCUCAAAAUUUCUCUUGAGAUAUAUUAUUUUAUCUGUAUGUUAUGUAGAAAUAUGUUGUAUAAUCUCUAUGUAUUUGGAACCUCCAGCUACCUUUCUAUGAAAUGGUUAUGUUUAAUCUAAGACAAAAUCAAUCUAUAUCCUUUUAAGUGUUUCUGAAAUACACCUUUGUGUGGGGAGUAGAAUGUUAUGAUAAAUUUUUCCAGUUAACUUCUGUAUGAAUUCAUCAGAAUGAGCUGUGGUCACCUCCCAGUUAAUAAAUUUCAAUCAUUUUAGCAUUA
This is a long non-coding RNA of Cavia porcellus (domestic guinea pig), 9257 nucleotides long. RefSeq lists it as uncharacterized. NCBI's taxonomy places the organism in Eukaryota, Metazoa, Chordata, Mammalia, Rodentia, Caviidae. The transcript is spliced from 4 exons. The record is from RefSeq and is a predicted model, not a curated record.